UAAUACGUAGGAGGCGAGCGUUGUCCGGAAUUACUGGGCGUAAAGCGCACGUAGGCGGCUUUGCAAGUUAGAGGUGAAAGCCCAGGGCUCAACCCUGGAAUUGCCUUUAAAACUGCAUCGCUAGAAUUGUGGAGAGGUAAGUGGAAUUCCGAGUGUAGAGGUGAAAUUCGUAGAUAUUCGGAAGAACACCAGUGGCGAAGGCGACUUACUGGACACAUAUUGACGCUGAGGUGCGAAAGCGUGGGGAGCAAACA
RNAcentral lists this ribosomal RNA (254 nucleotides) under uncultured prokaryote. Its description in RNAcentral is "partial 16S ribosomal RNA". It matches the Rfam family "Bacterial small subunit ribosomal RNA", at positions 521 to 774 of the family's 1533-position model. The record is from RNAcentral.